CGCUAGAGGGCGAGAGAGGCUGGGGACCCCGUGGAGUAGCCUGUCUCAGGUCCCCGUGGCCCACUGGGAGGGGCGCUCCCGGGAUGAAGCCAGAGUAAAUACAGGACAUCAGGACAUUGUUUUCUGGCGGUGAUGGUGAACAAGAUGGACAUAAGGCCUUCCUCAGUGGCAAGGAUCUCAAGAUCCCUUCUUGAUCUCAGAUUCUGUAAAUGGGAUACCUUUCUCCAUGUACUGAAGCAGCUCAAAGCCCUCGCCAGAUCUCAGCACCAUGCUCUUGGACUUACCAGCCUCCAGAACUCCAUGAAAAUAGCUUCUCCCAUAGUUGCUGCCCCUUUAACCUGGAUACAGGCCCUGAAACACAGUCAUCUACCCAAGCCCAGCCAAGAAUUAUGGGUGAAAAUACCUCAUAUGAUGAUCCAUGCAAAGGUACCAUUUGCCGUUCCCACCGUGCUCUUAUGAGGAAAGCAGCUCCCUGUUUUAUCUGCAUGAAGUUGUUGUGACUUACGCCAUAUACAUAAACUAUAACAAACCCUGCCAUUUUGAUCACAGCAGAUUGGAACAGAUGUUGUAGUAUAUUAUAAAGGCAGACAAUGUAAGUUGAUCAUUAGGAAGAACUAAUCCUUCAAGAAACUUGGAGUAAAACUGCCCAAGAGGGAUGCUCUGUAUCAGAUGCUAACAUCAACACAAUCCAUUCUUCUUGUUAAGGAUGAAGUCAUAUGUACACAGAAGUGAGUCACCACAGCACGAUAAGCAAUUGCACGAUAAGCAAUUGCUCCAUUUCUCCAUGUAACUUGCUCACAUGCCUAUCUUGGAAGUGCUGAAUAUUCUCUUUGGGUCUGACCUAUGAAUGUCAACAAAUCUCUACUUUCUCCACAUGUCACUUGACUACUGUUUAGCCUUUUAUUCUUCAACAACAGUAACUAAUCUUUAAAAACAUUUACCAUAUAAUAACAAAAAUAGUACUGAAGAGUUCCAGUAUUUUAUGUUUACAUGUCUUAUUUUGUUUAAUCCUAAUAAACUAAUCUAUAAGGUGCUUAUUGUUGUCUCCUUUUUACAGAUAAGGAAACUGAGGUCUACAGAGGAAAAAAUAACAGCUUCGGUGUCACAUAGGUUGUAAGCAGAGGAACUGGGCUACAAAUCCGGAUCUGUCUGGCUCCAAGGCCAGACUUCUACACUUCUAUACAGCAGUGGUUCUCAAAGUGUGGUCCCCACACCAGCAGCAUCAGCAUCACCUAGGAACUUGUUAGAAAUGCAAAUACAGUCCCACCCAAGCAUACUGAAUCAAAAACUUUGAGGCUAGGGCCCAGGAAUCUGUUUUAACAAAUCCUCCUCACUAAGAUUCUGAUCCCUGCUCAAGUUUGAGAACAACUGCUGUAUAUCACACUACCUUUACAUAAUAAUAUUAAGGGAAGUAAAUAAGUCUGUGAGCAGAAAUUAUCUGAAAGACUUCCUAAAGAAGGUAUACUGUAAGCCAAGCCUUAGAGGAUAGAGAGAAUAUAAGUUGGUAUAAACAGUGGCACUGUUUCUAGCAUUUAUUCCUAUCUUCUUUAUGGUACUAUGAACUUUGAAGGAAGUAUAAUACAAUGCUCAGUUCAGUACUGAUACAUAUAUAUACUCAAGGCAUUUUGUUCAAUGAAUAAAAUUUUUGAUAAAGGGUACCUAAAUAUACCAAAUAUAAUCUUGUUUCAGGCCUUAAGUGAAAUUGAUUUUUACACUUCUGGAUAAUCUAUGUACAGCCAAUUAUAUUUCAAUGUUCUUAUCUUUAAAGUCUAUCUCGAACUCUUAAACCCCUCAGCACAAAGUGUUCAGGCCCUUAUCUUAUAUGGCUCUCAGCAUGAGUGCCACGUGCUUCUGUAACACUGUGAAGAUAACACGGACAAUUAUGGUCAAUUAGCUUUAACAAGUAGAUUAUUGCCUGAACAGUUGAAAGAAGACACAUCAAAUUUAGUCUUGUUAAAUUGAGAAUUUUUAAGAAUGGGAGAAAAAAAUUAAAUCCUAUGAAAAAGAAAAAUAAUACAUUUUGUAGAAUAUGAGAUAUACUUCAUUCAUUAAAAUCUGAAGUGGGCCCCAUAUCUAAUAUAUAGAAGAUUAUAAUUGGUAUUUCCAUUCUAAUUCAUACAAUGCUAAAAUGUUAAGAUUGUGAAUUCUCUUCUAUUAGAGAUAGUUCCAUUGGUACAGAUCACAUAAUAAAAAUAAUAUAUAUUUAUUUUUCAUAGUAGCAAAGCCCUUGCCAUAAUUUUGAUGAGCACUCUUUAGAUAUGCAUUAGCACAUAAAUGCUUAUAUAAUUUUGAAUUCAUAGAGUGCUCCCUAAAAGAAUCUUAUGUCCUAAAAACUUAUACCCAAAAUGGCCUGAAUGAUAAAAGACUUUUCACUGUGAGAAAUGUGCUCCUCCCCCAAAAGCAAUUGGGAAAUGAGAAGCAACAAGCAAACAAGAGGCAGAUAAGGCAUGUCUUAAUCAAAUAUAUAUAUGGAGUCUUAAAUAUUCUUGCAUACUUUUACAUUCUUACAUAUACAGAAAGAUUUCUUUAGGAAGAUGGCUAUUUUUGUUAAUAUAUAUAUAUGUGUGUAUCAUAACUUCCUCCAGGACACUUUAAAAUACGGAUCUAAUUUGACGGAAUCUAGACUGCCGGAAAAGAAGUAGUUCACAGCUAAGAUAAAUAAAAUUUAAAGGACAGAGAUCAAUGUCUAUGGAAUUCAAAAUGCUUUGAGCCAACAUGUAAAAGCUAUAUUAUAGCCUAUUGCUUAGGACAGAGAAGUCAUACUUACAGCAAAUAAAAGCCUGAUCCAGGCAGUUAAGGUUUAUAAUCUCCCUCCCUUCAGUGUGGGCUGGACUUAGUGACUUGCUUCUUACAAAUAGAAUAUGGCAAAAGUGAUGGCAUAUCACUUCUGAGAUUUGUUUUCAUAAGUUGUGGCUUUCAUCUUAGAUGCUGUCUCUCACUCCCUCGCAUACUUGCUCUGAGAGAAGUCAGCUUGCUAUGUUCAGGGCCCACAUAGCAAGGAACUGAGGGAGGCCAACAGCCAAUAAAGAACAGACACAUAAGGCCAACAUUCCAAGAGGAAGUGAAUCCUGCCAACAACCACAGAAGGGAGCUUGGUAAUGCAUCUUUCCCCAGCCAAACCUCAGAUGAGAUUGCAGCCCUAUCCAACAGCUUAGCAAUAGCCUCACAAAAGACCCAUAGUCAAGACUCAUAGAAAAUAUGAGAUAAUGAAUAUUUCUUAUUUUAAAUCAUUAAGUUUUAGGGAUAAUUUGUUAAGCAGUGGUAGAAAACUAAAACAAAGGAUGAUUUGGAGUCCUGAAGAGAAGCUAAAAUAGAACUCACAACUAUAGCUCAGCAUUGACUCAAACUUGAAAAGGGGAAUGUAUUUUUGAUGUGUGUAAUGCAAAGGUCAAUCCCUAGGUAAGAGAAAAGAUCUUGAGACUCAGGUAGUAAUGACAGCAGAAGAGAUUGGAAAGAUGAAUCCAGGUUCUAUAUCCUUCUCAAGUAACCCAGUAAAAUGAGAAUUUACUUUUAAUUUUCCUUAAAAUAUAUGCCUCAAAAUUCCUUUGUGAAAUAUAAACAUUUGGUUGUACAUUAGAAUUAACUCUUCUGGACUAUGUUAAAGAAAAAGGUAGGAAAAUGGGGAACUGAUAUGGUUAGGUUGUGUCCCCACCCAAAUCUCAUCUUAAAUUGUAACUCCCACAAUUCUUACAUGUCAUAGGAGGGACCUGGUAGGAGGUAAUUGAAUCAUGGGGGUAGGUCUUUCCCAUGCUGUUCUCCUGAUAGUGAAUAAGUCUCAUGAGAUCUGAUGGUUUUAAAAAGGUGAAUUUCCCUGCACAAGGUCUCUCUCUCUUUAUCUGCCGCCAUCCAUGUAAGAUGUGACUAGCUCCUCCUUGCCUUCCACCAUGAUUGUAAGGCCUCCCUAGCCAUGUGGAACUGUAAGUCCAUUAAACUUCUUUUUCUUCACAGUCUCGGGUAUGUCUUUAUUAGCAGCAUGAAAAUAGACUAAUACAGUAAAUUGGUACCAGUAGAGUGGAGCACUGC
Molecule: long non-coding RNA, 4023 nt
Filed under: Homo sapiens (human)
Lineage: Eukaryota; Metazoa; Chordata; Mammalia; Primates; Hominidae
Description: HSALNT0341841
Source: RNAcentral